RNAcentral lists this ribosomal RNA (497 nucleotides) under uncultured bacterium. RNAcentral describes it as "partial 16S ribosomal RNA". It matches the Rfam family "Bacterial small subunit ribosomal RNA", at positions 28 to 507 of the family's 1533-position model. The record is from RNAcentral.
GAUGAACGCUGGCGGCGUGCCUAAUACAUGCAAGUCGAGCGAACAGAUGAGGAGCUUGCUCCUCUGACGUUAGCGGCGGACGGGUGAGUAACACGUGGAUAACCUACCUAUAAGACUGGGAUAACUUCGGGAAACCGGAGCUAAUACCGGAUAAUAUAUUGAACCGCAUGGUUCAAUAGUGAAAGACGGUUUUGCUGUCACUUAUAGAUGGAUCCGCGCCGCAUUAGCUAGUUGGUAAGGUAACGGCUUACCAAGGCAACGAUGCGUAGCCGACCUGAGAGGGUUGUCGGCCACACUGGAACUGAGACACGGUCCAGACUCCUACGGGAGGCAGCAGUAGGGAAUCUUCCGCAAUGGGCGAAAGCCUGACGGAGCAACGCCGCGUGAGUGAUGAAGGUCUUCGGAUCGUAAAACUCUGUUAUUAGGGAAGAACAAAUGUGUAAGUAACUAUGCACGUCUUGACGGUACCUAAUCAGAAAGCCACGGCUAACUACGUG